ACCCAAGGGGAUGGCGCCACGAGCUAGGUAGCUUCUACUCCUUAUUUUGGACCUUGUUGUGCCACGUCGGACAUGUUUGGCCGACGUUGAACUUGUAUGGAUGCAUUUGGACAUGUUGGACUUGUAUGGAUGCACUUGUGAUAUGGACUUCUAUGCAUGGAUAUGGAUUUGAUGCUAUAUUAUGUUUGAAAUGGCGUAUUAUUGCGAAUAUAUGUGAUGAAUGUUGUAUAUAUUGCUUCUGAUACCAUGCUUGUGUUUAAAUGUGCUGGAAAUGGAAGAAAACAGGGAAAAAAAGGAAAAAAAUUUCCCCAGGUUUGCCGAUGGUUAACCAUCGGCAAACCUGGAGAAAUUGGCCCAGCGCGCCCCAGGUAUGCCGAUGGCCGUGGCCAUCGGCAAACUAAUCAUAAAUUUGCCGAUGGCCGAGACCAUCGGCAAAAAAAUUCGUGAAAUGAUUUUUAAAAAACAAAAUAAAAAAAUGCCGACGGCCC
RNAcentral lists this long non-coding RNA (488 nucleotides) under Sorghum bicolor (sorghum). RNAcentral's name for it is "long non-coding RNA (SBIC_LNC004207)". The record is from RNAcentral. Lineage: Eukaryota; Viridiplantae; Streptophyta; Magnoliopsida; Poales; Poaceae.